UACAGAGGGGGCGAGCGUUGUUCGGAAUUACUGGGCGUAAAGGGCGCGUAGGCGGCCCGCUAAGUCGAACGUGAAAUCCCCAGGCUCAACCUGGGAACUGCGUCCGAUACUGGCAGGCUUGAAUCCGGGAGAGGGAUGUGGAAUUCCAGGUGUAGCGGUGAAAUGCGUAGAUAUUCGCAAGAACACCAGUGGCGAAGGCGGCUCACUGGCCCGGUACUGACGCUGAGGUGCGAAAGCGUGGGGAGCAAACAGG
This 253-nucleotide ribosomal RNA is filed under the name uncultured bacterium. RNAcentral's name for it is "partial 16S ribosomal RNA". It matches the Rfam family "Bacterial small subunit ribosomal RNA", at positions 524 to 776 of the family's 1533-position model. The record is from RNAcentral.